This 519-nucleotide ribosomal RNA is filed under the name uncultured eukaryote. RNAcentral describes it as "partial 18S ribosomal RNA". The record is from RNAcentral.
GGGGGACCCCGCGAGGGGUGGCCGCCGCGGGGCAUAUUCUCAACCUGCGUUGAAUCCCCCGAACGCCGCACUCAAAGGUUUUUGUGGUUUGAGAGCUUUUUCGGACCGAUUGGGGGGUGGGGUAUGGUAACUUACCUGUGGCAGAGUGUUUUGUGAGGACUCUGGCCAACAGUUAGAAAUUUCUUGGGGUUAAAAGAUGGAAGCGGAGGUCAAGCUGCCUGAACUUGUCUAAGGAUCACAGGCGGAUUCAUCCCCGCUGCAGGACUAGUCCCUUUGCUGUGUGAUGCCCUUAGAUGGGCGGGUCGCGCCGCGCCCACUGAAGUGAUCACGUGCAUCUGCUCACCCUUCCACAAGAGGUAGACACCCCAAGCAUCCUUUUUGAGAUUGGUAUUGGGGGGUGAUUAUAAUGCUCUCUACAAGAAGGACUCCCCCUCACGGGUCGCUAUAAGCGGGGAUAAUGCCCUGCCACCUGUAUUCACAAAUCGCCGCUACUACCUAGAGAGGGAUUUUUUAAUGUAG